AGAUUGAACGCUGGCGGCAGGCCUAACACAUGCAAGUCGAGCGCGAAAGUUUCUUCGGGAAUGAGUAGAGCGGCGGACGGGUGAGUAACGCGUGGGAAUUUGCCCAGUAGUGGGGGACAACUCGGGGGAAACUCGAGCUAAUACCGCAUACGCCCUAUGGGGGGAAAGCAGGGGAUCUUCGGACCUUGCGCUAUUGGGUAAGCCCGCGUCGGAUAGCUAGUUGGUAGGGUAAAGCCUACCAAGGCGACGAUCCGUAGCUGGUCUGAGAGGAUGAUCAGCCACACUGGGACUGAGACACGGCCCAGACUCCGUACGGGAGGCAGCAGGUGGGGAAUAUUGGACAAGUGGGGGCAACCCUGAUCCAGCCAUGCCGCGUGUG
Molecule: ribosomal RNA, 379 nt
Filed under: uncultured soil bacterium
Lineage: Bacteria
Description: bacterial SSU rRNA
Rfam family: Bacterial small subunit ribosomal RNA
Source: RNAcentral